RNAcentral lists this long non-coding RNA (400 nucleotides) under Strongylocentrotus purpuratus (purple sea urchin). Its description in RNAcentral is "uncharacterized LOC115925538, transcript variant X1". The record is from RNAcentral. Lineage: Eukaryota; Metazoa; Echinodermata; Echinoidea; Camarodonta; Strongylocentrotidae.
AUGCAGGAAACACUGGCACUUGUCUUCUCUUUGUCACAGUAACAGAUGCUGAAGCACCUAUUCUGUACUGCCCAAAUAUAUCUUCUACCACGGAUGAGGGACGCAAUUCAUCAUCUACUGUUCUGCUGAAUUCAACUGCAACUAAUGAUAAGGAUUUUCAUCUCGAUGUGAAUUGCUCCUAUUCAUCCCAAGAUACAUACCCUAUAGGGGACACCACUGUGAACUGCUCAUCUACAGAUGAUGCAGGAAACACUGGCACUUGUCUUUUCGUUGUCACAGUAACAGAUGACGAAGCACCUAUUUUGAACUGCCCAAAUAUAUCUUCUACUACGGAUGAGGGACUCCAUUCAUCAUCUACUGCUCUGCUGAAUUCAACUGCAACUGAUAAUGUGGAUUUUCA